This 456-nucleotide unclassified non-coding RNA is filed under the name uncultured Mortierella. RNAcentral's name for it is "sequence contains ITS2". The stretch from base 1 to 154 matches the Rfam family "5.8S ribosomal RNA". The record is from RNAcentral. Lineage: Eukaryota; Fungi; Mortierellomycota; Mortierellomycetes; Mortierellales; Mortierellaceae.
AACUUUCAGCAACGGAUCACUUGGCUCUCGCAUCGAUGAAGAAAGCAGCGAAAUGCGAUACGUAAUGUGAAUUGCAGAAUUCAGUGAAUCAUCGAAUCUUUGAACGCAUAUUGCGCUCUCUGGUAUUCCGGAGAGCAUGCUUGUUUGAGUAUCAGUAAACACCUCAAAUCCCUCUACUUGUUGGAGGAAUUUGGACUUGAGCAAUCCCAACUUUUCGAAAGAGAAGGCGGGUUGCUUGAAAUGCAGCUGCAGCGAUCUUGUGUCUUCUGAGGUAUCAGCAUACGUAGUUAAUCCAGUCAAACGGAUUAUCACUCUUGCUGCAGCUAACACAGACGGUGCAUAGUAGUUAUGCCUUACUUAGGCAUGAUUCAACAGGUCGCGCAAGCGAUCUGUGAACACGAGGGAAUAUCAAGCAAGACUACCCACUUAAAUAAAGGAUGGCAGUAAGCGGCUGCU